Molecule: long non-coding RNA, 364 nt
Filed under: Pan troglodytes (chimpanzee)
Lineage: Eukaryota; Metazoa; Chordata; Mammalia; Primates; Hominidae
Description: long non-coding RNA NONPTRT009736
Source: RNAcentral
GCCGGUGUGGGGCCGGGGAAGGGAGGGGAGGAUUAUAUGUGCAGACCUUCUCCUUGUUCGGGGCAUUCAGACCCUGUGGUCUGGUCACAGCCUGCCACCAUCGGGCACCUGUUCCUAGCAGUGGGAUGGUAGCGCCAAGGGGAGGGGCCGAAUGACAGACAACAAAGAAGAACGCAGAGAAUUAGAAGAGGGGAUGUGCGUGAGAGUUCCUAGUCUGGGCCACCAGGAAGGUCUCUGAGAGGCAGUGACGGUGAAGUAGAAUCCCUGAGUGAUGACGAGGAGCCAGCCACUAGUGUUCUGGUGACUCUACUUUUAAACACCUGGCUCUCUGGGGUAGGGGGAGAGAAAAAUAAAUGCUCUGAUA